This 253-nucleotide ribosomal RNA is filed under the name uncultured bacterium. RNAcentral describes it as "partial 16S ribosomal RNA". It matches the Rfam family "Bacterial small subunit ribosomal RNA", at positions 524 to 776 of the family's 1533-position model. The record is from RNAcentral.
UACGUAGGGGGCAAGCGUUGUCCGGAAUUAUUGGGCGUAAAGAGCGUGUAGGCGGUUCGAUCAGUCCGCUGUGAAAGUCCAGGGCUCAACCCUGGAAAGCCGGUGGAUACUGUCGGGCUAGAAUCCGGAAGAGGCGAGUGGAAUUCCUGGUGUAGCGGUGAAAUGCGCAGAUAUCAGGAGGAACACCGAUGGCGAAGGCAGCUCGCUGGGACGGUAUUGACGCUGAGACGCGAAAGCGUGGGGAGCAAACAGG